AGUGAACGCUGGCGGCAGGCCUAACACAUGCAAGUCGAGCGGCAGCGCGGGGGCAACCCUGGAGGCGAGCGGCGGACGGGUGAGGAAUUCGUCGGAAAUUGCCUUUUUGUGGGGGAUAAAGUAUGGGAACUUACGCUAAAACCGCAUACGUCCUACGGGAGAAAGUGGGGGACGGCAAGGCCUCACGCAGAAAGAUGAGCCGACGACCGAUUAGCUAGUUGGUGGGGUAAAGGCCUACCAAGGCGGCGAUCGGUAGCUGGUCUGAGAGGAUGAUCAGCCACACUGGGACUGAGAGACGGCCCAGACUCCUAGGGGAGGCACAAGUGGGGAAUAGUGGCAGAAGGGCGCAAUCCUGAUCCAGCCAUGCCGGGUGGGUGAAGAGGGGCUGCGGGUGGUAAAGCACUUUUGUCCGGAAAGAAAUCCCUGGAGCUAAACGCUGCGUGGGAUGACGGUACCGGAAGAAUAAGCACCGGCUAACUUCGUG
Molecule: ribosomal RNA, 484 nt
Filed under: uncultured bacterium
Lineage: Bacteria
Description: partial 16S ribosomal RNA
Rfam family: Bacterial small subunit ribosomal RNA
Source: RNAcentral